CGGCGGACGGGUGAGUAACGCGUGGGUAACCUGCCUCAUACAGGGGGAUAACAGUUAGAAAUGACUGCUAAUACCGCAUAAGACCACAGCACCGCAUGGUGCGGGGGUAAAAACUCCGGUGGUAUGAGAUGGACCCGCGUCUGAUUAGCCAGUUGGCGGGGUAACGGCCCACCAAAGCGACGAUCAGUAGCCGACCUGAGAGGGUGACCGGCCACAUUGGGACUGAGACACGGCCCAA
Molecule: ribosomal RNA, 238 nt
Filed under: uncultured bacterium
Lineage: Bacteria
Description: partial 16S ribosomal RNA
Rfam family: Bacterial small subunit ribosomal RNA
Source: RNAcentral